This 439-nucleotide ribosomal RNA is filed under the name uncultured bacterium. Its description in RNAcentral is "partial 16S ribosomal RNA". It matches the Rfam family "Bacterial small subunit ribosomal RNA", at positions 339 to 795 of the family's 1533-position model. The record is from RNAcentral.
CUACGGGUGGCUGCAGUGAGGAAUAUUGCACAAUGGGGGGAACCCUGAUGCAGCAACGCCGCGUGGAGGAUGACGCAUUUCGGUGUGUAAACUCCUUUUAUAUGUCAAGAAAAUGACGGUAGCAUAUGAAUAAGCACCGGCUAACUCCGUGCCAGCAGCCGCGGUAAUACAGAGGGUGCAAGCGUUACUCGGAAUCACUGGGCGUAAAGGACGCGUAGGCGGGUUGGAAAGUCAGGUGUGAAAUCCUACAGCUUAACUGUAGAACUGCACUUGAAACUACGAGCCUAGAGUAUGGGAGGGGAAGAUGGAAUUAGUGGUGUAGGGGUAAAAUCCGUAGAGAUCACUAGGAAUACCUAAAGCGAAGGCGAUCUGCUGGAACAUAACUGACGCUAAGGCGUGAAAGCGUGGGGAGCAAACAGGAUUAGAUACCCCCGUAGUC